RNAcentral lists this ribosomal RNA (46 nucleotides) under Montagnula cirsii. Its description in RNAcentral is "partial 18S ribosomal RNA". The record is from RNAcentral. Lineage: Eukaryota; Fungi; Ascomycota; Dothideomycetes; Pleosporales; Didymosphaeriaceae.
UGGAAGUAAAAAUCGUAACAAGGUUUCCGUAGGUGAACCUGCGGAA